UACAGAGGGGGCAAGCGUUGUCCGGAAUUACUGGGCGUAAAGCGUCCGCAGGUGGCCGUGCAAGUGUGAUGUGAAAGCCCCGCGCUUAACGCGGGGAGGCCAUUACAGACUGCACAGCUCGAGGGAUGCAGAGGGUCGUGGAAUUGCCGGUGUAGUGGUGAAAUGCGUAGAGAUCGGCAGGAACACCAAGGACGAAGGUAGCGACCUGGGCAUCACCUGACACUCAUGGACGACAGCGUGGGGAGCGAACCGG
RNAcentral lists this ribosomal RNA (253 nucleotides) under uncultured bacterium. Its description in RNAcentral is "partial 16S ribosomal RNA". It matches the Rfam family "Bacterial small subunit ribosomal RNA", at positions 524 to 776 of the family's 1533-position model. The record is from RNAcentral.